UACGUAGGGACCGAGCGUUGUCCGGAAUCAUUGGGCGUAAAGAGCGUGUAGGCGGCUAUUUAAGUCCUGCGUGAAAUCCUGCGGCUCAACCGCAGACGGUCGUGGGAAACUGGAUGGCUAGAGUGCGGGAGAGGAGAGUGGAAUUCCCGGUGUAGCGGUGAAAUGCGCAGAUAUCGGGAAAGAACACCCGUGGCGAAGGCGGCUCUCUGGAACGCAACUGACGCUGAGACGCGAAAAGCGUGGGGAGCAAACAGGGAUUAAGAU
RNAcentral lists this ribosomal RNA (264 nucleotides) under uncultured bacterium. RNAcentral describes it as "partial 16S ribosomal RNA". It matches the Rfam family "Bacterial small subunit ribosomal RNA", at positions 524 to 785 of the family's 1533-position model. The record is from RNAcentral.